AUUGAACGCUGGCGGCAGGCCUAACACAUGCAAGUCGAGCGGAUGAAGGGAGCUUGCUCCUGGAUUCAGCGGCGGACGGGUGAGUAAUGCCUAGGAAUCUGCCUGGUAGUGGGGGAUAACGUCCGGAAACGGGCGCUAAUACCGCAUACGUCCUGAGGGAGAAAGUGGGGGAUCUUCGGACCUCACGCUAUCAGAUGAGCCUAGGUCGGAUUAGCUAGUUGGUGGGGUAAAGGCCUACCAAGGCGACGAUCCGUAACUGGUCUGAGAGGAUGAUCAGUCACACUGGAACUGAGACACGGUCCAGACUCCUACGGGAGGCAGCAGUGGGGAAUAUUGGACAGUGGGCGGGAGCCUGAUCCAGCCAUGCCGCGUGUGUGAAGAAGGUCUUCGGAUUGUAAAGCACGUUAAGUUGGGGGGAAGGGCAGUAAGUUAAUACCUUGCUGUUUUGACGUUACCAACAGAAUAAGCACCGGCUAACUUCGUG
This 484-nucleotide ribosomal RNA is filed under the name uncultured bacterium. RNAcentral's name for it is "partial 16S ribosomal RNA". It matches the Rfam family "Bacterial small subunit ribosomal RNA", at positions 30 to 507 of the family's 1533-position model. The record is from RNAcentral.